This is a long non-coding RNA of Teleopsis dalmanni, 2050 nucleotides long. RefSeq lists it as uncharacterized. The transcript is spliced from 11 exons. The record is from RefSeq and is a predicted model, not a curated record. Lineage: Eukaryota; Metazoa; Arthropoda; Insecta; Diptera; Diopsidae.
UAGAAUAUUUUUAGUUAAAAUUUUUUUUACAUUGAGUUAACAACAUUUUCCGUCUCAUCAAAAUUUUUCGUGUGAAAUUGUUUUGACUUGAUACAAUUUGUAUAUAAAAAAAAUGAGCAUGGGCAAUAGUUAUUUAAAUUUCGUCGAGGAUUAUAGGACUCAUUACCCGGACCUACCACCUUUGGAGGUGGCAAGAGCAGCGCGAACAGCAUGGGAUAGUUUAGCAUCUAAAGAAAAACUUCUGUACCAUACGGAAAGCAUUGCGAGUCUCCAAGAGGACAUAGCUAUGGAAUGUGGUACAUGUGGAAAGAAAAAGAAGAAAAAAGGUUGUCCAAAGAAGAAGAAAAAGAGUUGUCCCAAGAAGAAGCGUAAUCCGUGUGCUAAAAAGAAGCCUAAAUGUAAGAAAAAGCCCAAUCCGUGCAAGAAGAAGAAAAAGCGUCGUCAAAUUUGUUGUUAAUUUAAAUGAUUUUGAAACUGAUUGGAAAAGAAAUAAUUUGGUGGAAAGUUACAUCCUCUUGCUUCCAGUCUUUCAUACCACCACAUAAAACAAACUUUUCCUAACAAUAGUCCUCAAACUCUGUAUCCUAAGACCCUGAGCCUGAAUAACAAUAAAGCCAUUAUAUAUUGUUGAUUAUGAUGCGUUACUUAGUUCUAAUUUUAAAUUGAUGUUACCUAAAAAACCAUUGAAAAAUUUGUGUUUCCUAUGGUUCCUGUUUAAGCGUUGAUCUUAAAAAUCCUAUAUAUUUAUUAUGAUUGUUUACUAUGUAUGUCCAAAUGAAAGUGGAUAAAAAAGAUGUCUUGAACAAUGUGUAUUUUGAUGCGUUACUUAGUUCUAAUUUUAAUUUGAUGUUACCUAGAAAAUCGUUAAAAAAAAUUGUGUUUUCUAUGGUUCCUGUUUAAGCCUUGAUUUUAAAAAUCCUAUAUAUUUAUUAUGAUUGUUUACUAUCUAUGUCGAAAUGAAAGUGGAUAAAAAUGAUGUCUUGAACAAUGUGUAUUCCAAUUCCAGCAUAUUUAAAAAAAUAUUUCCGUUGUGUACUAUAAUGAAAAAAUGUAUUAAAUAUCCAAAGAGUAAUACUGUAAAAAAAUGAGCGGCUUGUAGAAAUACAAUUAAUUUAUUUGUAUUAUAUGGUCACAGGUCGUAAAAACCUGUUGUAAUGGAAAAAUUCGAAGAUCAAGAUAGACUUGGGUGAAGAACAAUGCUUUGAAAUUUAAGAAAAAAUGUGUACUAUAUGAGAAACAGUAAUAGUCUCGAAGACUGUUUAAUAGAAGAAGAAAAAGAUUUGUGUAAAACUGACGAAAAAAAGUUGUGCGAAGAUGUAUCGAAAGAGAUAUGGUGAGAAGGCGAAACCCAGAUGUAAGCUAAAUGUAAAGCCUGCAACGAGCGUAUGCGCCCCCAAAUUUAUUGCAAAUAAUUCAAGGUUGAAAAAAUGGCUUAUUACAAUGUUACAACUCUUGCCUCUAGUCAGUACAAUCUACCAUAUCAUAACAUCAGCUGUCAAAAAUAACUAUCUUGAUCUGAAUGACACUAACUCCAUCAUAUAUUAUUAAUUUUGUUAUGUUACUAAUUUUAAGAUUGUUUACUAUGUAUGUGUAAUGAAUGUGUUAUGAAAAUCUAAACGACUGUAAAUGAAAUAUUAAUAUUUACCGCAACUUUACUGAUGCGUUCCAUAUUAUUGUCUAUUUAAUUUGACGUAUAUAGCCUUUCAAGUACUUAUAAUAAUUUAGUGAUUAUCCAGAAUCAAAACUUACAACGUAAAUCCUUCUCAAACUAUUUAAAAUAUAAAAACUUGAAACAACCAAUUGUGUAAAUUUAAAACAAGUUUUUAUUAUGAAAAUAAUUGUGAAUUCCAAUAAUAAAACGUGCUCUCUGAAGUAAAAUAAGAUGAAGAAAGAAAGUUUAUUUAAAAAUGCAAGCAAAAAUAAAAUUUUGCAGACCCAUUCGAAGUAAUUUUUUUGCAGUUGGAGUUAUUAAAACUUUGCUCAAUUAUACAAUAUAAAAGUUAAUAAUGUAUAUGUAUAAAUGAAUUUAAAUAAACUAUUAAAAAUUUAA